GGGCGCAUAGCUCAGUUGGCUAGAGCCACCGGCUCAUAACCGGUCGGUCGUAGGUUCGAAUCCUACUGCGCCCACCA
RNAcentral lists this transfer RNA (77 nucleotides) under Desulfopila sp. RNAcentral describes it as "tRNA-Ile". It matches the Rfam family "tRNA". Rfam says of the family: Transfer RNA (tRNA) molecules are approximately 80 nucleotides in length. The record is from RNAcentral. RNAcentral also lists the same sequence under 1 other name. Lineage: Bacteria; Pseudomonadati; Thermodesulfobacteriota; Desulfobulbia; Desulfobulbales; Desulfocapsaceae.